ACAUUCGAUUUAUGAUCAAACAGGCAUUCAACGCUUGACAUCAUCUUAAGGACUAAAAUAUACUUGAAAAUGGCGUCUGAUGCUGAAGCUUUACCCAACACUGGAAAUAGAAAUUUAAACACCAAUAAUGAAUCUGAUUACAAGUUGCAAAUCUUCCAGUCUUCUCUGAAUGUGCUGGCGCAUGUUUUGAUCGGAGCCUCAGUGAUGUCGAGUCUACUGUUCGCGUUUAGAAGCGGUUUGCCUCUGAAUGCCACUUCGCUGCACAUUGUUUUAUGUGUAAUCGGGUAUCACCUUCUUAUGGCCCAAGCAAUCCUUAGCUUGAGCGACAGCAAUGGCUGGUCUUCUAAGUUGAGGCUGGUGGACCGGAGACGAGCUCACUGGAUCCUCCAGAUCCUCGGCUCUGGACUGGCCAUCAUCGGUAGCUUCAUCAAGAUUGUGGCAAGAGUGCCCAUUGGAAUACUUUACACGGAAAAUUUGCACUAGUCGCCCUGGUCUUCACUUCCUUCAGCCUCGUGAAUGGCGUGGCCUCCCUCUACGGGGUCGAGUGGCGCCGGUUCCUCAACAUGAACAUUUCCAAGUUAACUCACGUCUGCUUCGGCAUCGUCGCCUUCGCGUCCGCCACCAUCACGCUCUGCUACGGUUUCGACAAGUUCCCCUUCAGGACCUGGGCCUCCACCCCAGUAGCUGAUGCCCUCAUUGCAGUCACUGCCGUGUACGCCACAAUUAUCAUCAUAAACCCUGCGAUCACCUUCUAUAGGAAAUCUAGGGUGGUGUUUAAAAAUGCCACGUCAUGAGCGCUGUGUUUGUAAUGUGUGCGGCAUAGAAUCUCAAAAUAUAUAAUUUAACCGGAAAGUUCUUGUUUAGAUCAAGAAAGUUCUUGACAUAUCAGAGUUACAAGGAGAGCCAUGGUACUGGCCAUGGGGGUAUUUCGCUCAGAUAUCGUAUUCCAAAUGUAGAGAUCCGCCGAAAGAAGAAACUUUUCGAUGUCGCAAAGCGGGUCACCGAACUGAAGUGGAAGUGGGCAAGACAUUUUUGUCAUCGGACUACCUGUUUGAUGGUUGACAAGGUUGCGGGGCAACUGUGGAUAUGAACGGCACAAGACCAAACCAAACAGUGGAUGAUAGAGGGUCGAAAAUAAUGGUGAUGAUGUGUAAAAUAACUCAUGUGUAAUGUUUAAUUUACUUUUAGGUAU
This is an RNA transcript of Plutella xylostella (diamondback moth), 1192 nucleotides long. It is a transcript of the gene named transmembrane reductase CYB561D2, with no coding region annotated. The record is from RefSeq and is a predicted model, not a curated record. NCBI's taxonomy places the organism in Eukaryota, Metazoa, Arthropoda, Insecta, Lepidoptera, Plutellidae.